This 389-nucleotide ribosomal RNA is filed under the name uncultured bacterium. RNAcentral describes it as "bacterial SSU rRNA". It matches the Rfam family "Bacterial small subunit ribosomal RNA", at positions 28 to 417 of the family's 1533-position model. The record is from RNAcentral.
GACGAACGCUGGCGGCGUGCUUAACACAUGCAAGUCGAGCGGUAAGGCCCUUUCGGGGGUACACGAGCGGCGAACGGGUGAGUAACACGUGGGUGACCUGCCCUCAGCUCUGGGAUAAGCCUGGGAAACCGGGUCUAAUACUGGAUAUGACUCCAUGACGCAUGUUGUGGGGUGGAAAGCCUUGUGCGGCUGAGGAUGGGCCCGCGGCCUAUCAGCUUGUUGGUGGGGUGAUGGCCUACCAAGGCGACGACGGGUAGCCGGCCUCGAGAGGGCGACCGGCCACACUGGGACUGAGACACGGCCCAGACUCCUACGGGAGGCAGCAGUGGGGAAUCUUGCGCAAGUGGCGAAAGCCUGACGCAGCGACGCCGCGUGAGGGAUGACGGCCU